CGCUGAGAAGCUUAUACGGACAAAGCGUUAGCCUUUUAAGCUAAAGACAGGUGCCUCCGCCCACCCUCAGUGA
This 73-nucleotide transfer RNA is filed under the name Fowleria isostigma. Its description in RNAcentral is "tRNA-Lys". It matches the Rfam family "tRNA". Rfam says of the family: Transfer RNA (tRNA) molecules are approximately 80 nucleotides in length. Their secondary structure includes four short double-helical elements and three loops (D, anti-codon, and T loops). Lineage: Eukaryota; Metazoa; Chordata; Actinopteri; Kurtiformes; Apogonidae. The record is from RNAcentral.